Molecule: ribosomal RNA, 207 nt
Filed under: uncultured bacterium
Lineage: Bacteria
Description: partial 16S ribosomal RNA
Rfam family: Bacterial small subunit ribosomal RNA
Source: RNAcentral
UACGUAGGCGGUUUAUUAAGUCAGAUGUGAAAGCCCCGGGCUUAACCUGGGAACUGCAUUUGAUACUGGUAAACUAGAGUAUGGUAGAGGGGGGUAGAAUUCCUAGUGUAGCGGUGAAAUGCGUAGAUAUUAGGAGGAAUACCAGUGGCGAAGGCGGCCCCCUGGACCAAUACUGACGCUGAGGUACGAAAGCGUGGGUGGCGAACA